GCUCCGCACCGUGCCCUGCCUUUACCUGCCCCCGGGGCCCGCGCCAGAGGGAACCUCCCUCCUCCCGUGCUUCUGCAGCUUUAGCGGCUUUUUCCUUUUUGGAAGCGGGAGUGGGAAAAAAAACACACGCAAAGCCCAAGCAGCCCCCCACCCCCGCACAGAAAUGCCAGCCACCCGGGCGAGACCGAAAUGCGGCGGCUCUCGCCCCGAGCCCAGCCCCGAGCCCGCAGCGGCGGCGGCUGCAGCCGGGCGGCCCGGCGCGGCUCCGCGCAGCCCUCCCCAGGCCCCGAGCAGCCUUUUAAGUUUCCCCUUUGUUUUCAGAAACUCGCACACGUUUCCUGCCCCACGCGAAGACCCAACGAGCUAACCCAAACCUCUCCCAGCCAUACGUGCGCGCUGGGCGUGCUCCCGGGCGCAGCGAGCCACAGACUACCUCUCUCUCUCGUUGAAAAUCUUUGCGGCAACUUAUUUUCCCUAGAAAGCUAUUGCCUACGACUCAUCUCCAACACACAGUGAGCGGCGGGCGCUGCCGGACACACUGCGACCUAAAGGGGGGAAAGCUCUGGCGAAAGGCGGUGUCGCGACCCGGGAUGCACCUUUCGGGCUCCUGGUUCGUGGCUCGCUCCAUUCCUCCGCAGCACAGCGCUGCAGACCGCAGCCGAGUCGCUUUUCUCCCUCCCGGACCGUGCAGCAAAAUAAUCGGCGGAGCCGGGAGCGACCCCGUGUCCAAAGGCUCCCCGGUUUCCCAACCGCUCCGAGACCACAUUCACCUCCAGUAGGAAACGACAGCUGAAAAACGCCGUUAUCUCGGGGAAAGAGGCAUUUCCCAGGGGCUUCCCCCCCCGGUGCGGGAGAGCCUGCAAAGCGAGCCAGCAGAGGCCGUUUGGGGGAGGCUUUCAGGACGAUGGCAAUUAUCAAUAACCGCUCGCUGUCCCGGCUGCCCCUCGGAAAAUUUUUGCUCUUUGAGAUUGUCUAAAUCAGCUGUAAAUCUGGCAAAGCAGUCAAUGAAAUAGCCAUCCCCAAGCAUGCGUUUCAAGUUUCUGUUGCUUAGCCGACGACCUAUAGUAAGCGCCAUCGACUAUUUCGGGGUAAUUAGCUAUAUCAGGCUGACAUU
Dromaius novaehollandiae (emu) is the source of this 1114-nucleotide long non-coding RNA. RefSeq lists it as uncharacterized. The transcript has 2 exons. Lineage: Eukaryota; Metazoa; Chordata; Aves; Casuariiformes; Dromaiidae. The record is from RefSeq and is a predicted model, not a curated record.